RNAcentral lists this ribosomal RNA (367 nucleotides) under uncultured euryarchaeote. RNAcentral describes it as "bacterial SSU rRNA". It matches the Rfam family "Archaeal small subunit ribosomal RNA", at positions 348 to 718 of the family's 1478-position model. The record is from RNAcentral. Lineage: Archaea; Methanobacteriati; Methanobacteriota.
CUUCACACUGCAGGAAACUGUGAUGAGGGAACUCCAAGUGACUGCCCAAUGGGUAGCCUUUUCUUGAAUCUUAAUAGUUCUUGGAAUAAGGGCUGGGAAAGACCGGUGCCAGCCGCCGCGGUAAUACCGGCAGCUCAAGUGGUCGUCGCUUUUAUUGGGCCUAAAACGUCCGUAGCCUGUUUGGUAAAUCUGUGGGUAAAUCAACGAGCUUAACUCGUUGAAUUCUGCAGAGACUGCCAGACUAGGGACCGGGAGAGGUAUGAGGUACUCUGGGGUAGGGGUAAACCGUAGUCAUCCUCAGAGGACCACCUGUUGCGAAGGCGUCAUACUGGAACGGAUCCGACGGUCAGGGACGAAGCCUAGGGGC